CACCGAAGUCAAGCACCAUUGGGCGCGGACAGUACUUGGGUGGGUGACCACCUGGGAACACCGCGUGCCGUU
This is a non-coding RNA of Caerostris darwini, 72 nucleotides long. NCBI's taxonomy places the organism in Eukaryota, Metazoa, Arthropoda, Arachnida, Araneae, Araneidae. The record is from the annotation of a GenBank genome assembly.